AUGCUGUGAAACUGCGAAUGGCUCAUUAAAUCAGUUAUCGUUUAUUUGAUAGUACCUUACUACUUGGAUAACCGUGGUAAUUCUAGAGCUAAUACAUGCUGAAAACCCCAACUUCGGGAGGGGUGUAUUUAUUAGAUAAAAAACCAACGCCCUUCGGGGCUUCUUGGUGAUUCAUGAUAACUUUACGGAUCGCAUGGCCUUGCGCCGGCGACGGUUCAUUCAAAUUUCUGCCCUAUCAACUUUCGAUGGUAAGGUAUUGGCUUACCAUGGUUUCAACGGGUAACGGGGAAUUAGGGUUCGAUUCCGGAGAGGGAGCCUGAGAAACGGCUACCACAUCCAAGGAAGGCAGCAGGCGCGCAAAUUACCCAAUCCCGACACGGGGAGGUAGUGACAAUAAAUACUGAUACAGGGCUCUUUUGGGUCUUGUAAUUGGAAUGAGUACAAUUUAAACCUCUUAACGAGGAACAAUUGGAGGGCAAGUCUGGUGCCAGCAGCCGCGGUAAUUCCAGCUCCAAUAGCGUAUAUUAAAGUUGUUGCAGUUAAAAAGCUCGUAGUUGAACCUUGGGUCUGGCUGGCGGGUCCGCCUCACCGCGUGUACUUGUCCGGCCGGGCCUUCCUUCUGGAGAACCUCAUGCCCUUUACUGGGCGUGUUGGGGACCAGGACUUUUACUUUGAAAAAAUUAGAGUGUUCAAAGCAGGCCUUUGCUCGAAUACGUUAGCAUGGAAUAAUAGAAUAGGACGUGCGGUCCUAUUUUGUUGGUUUCUAGGACCGCCGUAAUGAUUAAUAGGGACAGUCGGGGGCAUCAGUAUUCAAUUGUCAGAGGUGAAAUUCUUGGAUUUAUUGAAGACUAACUACUGCGAAAGCAUUUGCCAAGGAUGUUUUCAUUAAUCAGUGAACGAAAGUUAGGGGAUCGAAGACGAUCAGAUACCGUCGUAGUCUUAACCGUAAACUAUGCCGACUAGGGAUCGGGCGAUGUUCUUUUUCUGACUCGCUCGGCACCUUACGAGAAAUCAA
Molecule: ribosomal RNA, 1015 nt
Filed under: Embarria clematidis
Lineage: Eukaryota; Fungi; Ascomycota; Dothideomycetes; Pleosporales; Phaeosphaeriaceae
Description: SSU rRNA
Rfam family: Eukaryotic small subunit ribosomal RNA
Source: RNAcentral